CUGGAAAAGCAUCUAAAUAUGAAUUGUAAUCAAAGAGAAAACAACAAAGAACUCAGGAUGAACAAAAGCUAGAGGUGUACGGUUCAGAAGGUAAACUGCAGCAUGAAGACCACCUAUGUUCACCCAGACAGUGUGCACUUUGCGCCACACAUGUUCCAUUCCAGAUAAUGCCUGUGUACACACAAAAGGCAUAAAAGUAAUUAGCUUUAA
Molecule: long non-coding RNA, 210 nt
Organism: Pipistrellus kuhlii (Kuhl's pipistrelle)
Lineage: Eukaryota; Metazoa; Chordata; Mammalia; Chiroptera; Vespertilionidae
Exons: 2
Source: RefSeq, a predicted model, not a curated record